AGCCAGUGUGGUGCAGGGGUUAGAGUGUCGGUCUAGGACUCGGGAGACCAGGGUUCAAAUCCCCACUUGGUUA
Molecule: non-coding RNA, 73 nt
Organism: Podarcis lilfordi (Lilford's wall lizard)
Lineage: Eukaryota; Metazoa; Chordata; Lepidosauria; Squamata; Lacertidae
Source: the annotation of a GenBank genome assembly